This 245-nucleotide ribosomal RNA is filed under the name uncultured Propionicicella sp. RNAcentral describes it as "partial 16S ribosomal RNA". It matches the Rfam family "Bacterial small subunit ribosomal RNA", at positions 796 to 1041 of the family's 1533-position model. The record is from RNAcentral. Lineage: Bacteria; Bacillati; Actinomycetota; Actinomycetes; Propionibacteriales; Nocardioidaceae.
CACGCCGUAAACGGUGGGCACUAGGUGUGGGACCCAUUCCACGGGUUCCGUGCCGUAGCUAACGCAUUAAGUGCCCCGCCUGGGGAGUACGGCCGCAAGGCUAAAACUCAAAGGAAUUGACGGGGGCCCGCACAAGCGGCGGAGCAUGCGGAUUAAUUCGAUGCAACGCGAAGAACCUUACCUGGGUUUGACAUAUGCCGGAAACAUCUGGAGACAGGUGCCCCGCAAGGUCGGUAUACAGGUGG